GACGAACGCUGGCGGCGUGCCUAAUACAUGCAAGUCGAACGCAGUGGGUACGGGUGAGUAACACGUGGGUAACCUCCCAUCAGAGGGGAUAACACUUGGAAACAGGUGCUAAACCGAUACUGAUGGAUGGACCCGCGGUGCAUUAGCUAGUUGGUGAGGUAACGGCUCACCAAGGCCACGAUGCAUAGCCGACCUGUGAGGGUGAUUGGCAACACCGGGACUGAGACAGGCCCCAGGCUCCUCCGGGCGGCGUCAGUAGGGAAUCUUCGGCAAUGGACGAAAGUCUGACCGAGCAACGCCGGGUUAGUGAAGAGGGUUUGCGGAUCGUAAGACUCUGUUGUUAGAGAAGCGGUAUCUAACCAGAAAGCCACGGCUAACUACGUGCCAGCAGCCGCGGUAAUAC
RNAcentral lists this ribosomal RNA (403 nucleotides) under uncultured bacterium. RNAcentral describes it as "partial 16S ribosomal RNA". It matches the Rfam family "Bacterial small subunit ribosomal RNA", at positions 28 to 526 of the family's 1533-position model. The record is from RNAcentral.